This 520-nucleotide ribosomal RNA is filed under the name uncultured Glomus. RNAcentral's name for it is "SSU rRNA". It matches the Rfam family "Eukaryotic small subunit ribosomal RNA", at positions 569 to 1090 of the family's 1831-position model. The record is from RNAcentral. Lineage: Eukaryota; Fungi; Glomeromycota; Glomeromycetes; Glomerales; Glomeraceae.
AGCAGCCGCGGUAAUUCCAGCUCCAAUAGCGUAUAUUAAAGUUGCUGCAGUUAAAAAGCUCGUAGUUGAAUUUCGGGACCAAUCUGCCGGUCGUGCCUCCGGUACGCACUGGUUUUAUUGGUUUCUCCCUUCUGACGAACCAUGAUGUCAUUAAUUUGGUGUCAUGGGGAAUCAGGACUGUUACUUUGAAAAAAUUAGAGUGUUUAUAGCAGGCUCACGCUUGAAUACAUUAGCAUGGAAUAAUGAAAUAGGACGUUUGACCCUAUUUUGUUGGUUUCUAGGAUCGACGUAAUGAUUAAUAGGGAUAGUUGGGGGCAUUAGUAUUCAAUUGUCAGAGGUGAAAUUCUUGGAUUUAUUGAAGACUAACUACUGCGAAAGCAUUUGCCAAGGAUGUUUUCAUUAAUCAAGAACGAAAGUUAGGGGAUCGAAGACGAUCAGAUACCGUCGUAGUCUUAACCAUAAACUAUGCCGACUAGGGAUCGGAUGAUGUUAAUUUUUUAAUGACUCAUUCGGCGCCUUA